This 381-nucleotide long non-coding RNA is filed under the name Cricetulus griseus (Chinese hamster). RNAcentral's name for it is "lncRNA (ENSCGRG00015039755.1)". The record is from RNAcentral. Lineage: Eukaryota; Metazoa; Chordata; Mammalia; Rodentia; Cricetidae.
UUCAGGGGCAGUAAGUGUUUUCUUCUUCCCUCUUAAAAGAAGCUACGGACAAGGCUGUCUUUGCUAGGAAUCUAAGCCUGAAGAUCUCAUUUUUACCUAUGUGUUCUAUGAGAUGCUGCCUCAACAUCACUGAGUGGCUGAGCUGGCACUGGUAUUUCUUCCCUUGUCUGCUGUGAAGAGUAAAUGGGAUGGUGACAUACUUCCAAAGUGAAAGAUGAAAAGAAUCUGACUGAGUGCAUAGCAGCACAACCGGAGAUGCUCCACGGCUCCUCUGAAAGAGGAGCGAUAGAUCAGAGCGCGACAGAGCCGGCGGAAGAAUACGAAACCAGUUACAUGAACUGUGAACUAUAUGUCAGUGUUCUAUUUGCCUUGAGACAGGGU